UCUCUGGUGGUCCAGUGGUGAGUGAACUCUGGCCUUCGAGGCUAAAGUUCACUCUAGCGAGAUCUGAGCAUUGCCGCGGCAACACUCCGACCUCACGAGAGGAACCCAGCGGAGAGGCUGGGGACUACUAAUGUCUUCUUUUUCCACAUCCGUUCUAGCUCCUCUUUCAGUUCUUGGUAUUUGUCCAUCUUCUCAUGUUCCUUAUCCAUGAUGUUAUUGUCACUGGGUAUUGCCACAUCUACCACCACUGUAGUCUUCUGUUUCUUAUCCACCACCAUGCUGUCAGGUUGGUUGGCCAGUACUUG
Pelobates cultripes (western spadefoot toad) is the source of this 305-nucleotide non-coding RNA. Lineage: Eukaryota; Metazoa; Chordata; Amphibia; Anura; Pelobatidae. The record is from the annotation of a GenBank genome assembly.